RNAcentral lists this transfer RNA (68 nucleotides) under Japanagallia multispina. RNAcentral describes it as "tRNA-His". The record is from RNAcentral. Lineage: Eukaryota; Metazoa; Arthropoda; Insecta; Hemiptera; Cicadellidae.
AUCUAAGUAUUUUAUUAAAAAUUGGGAUUUGUGGAGUCUUAGAUGCAUAGUUUAUUAUGCCUUAGGUU